AUUGAACGCUGGCGGCAGGCCUAACACAUGCAAGUCGAGCGGAUGAAGGGAGCUUGCUCCUGGAUUCAGCGGCGGACGGGUGAGUAAUGCCUAGGAAUCUGCCUGGUAGUGGGGGAUAACGUCCGGAAACGGGCGCUAAUACCGCAUACGUCCUGAGGGAGAAAGUGGGGGAUCUUCGGACCUCACGCUAUCAGAUGAGCCUAGGUCGGAUUAGCUAGUUGGUGGGGUAAAGGCCGACCAAGGCGACGAUCCGUAACUGGUCUGAGAGGAUGAUCAGUCACACUGGAACUGGGACACGGUCCAGACUCCUACGGGAGGCAGCAGUGGGGAAUAUUGGACAAUGGGCGAAAGCCUGAUCCAGCCAUGCCGCGUGUGUGAAGAAGGUCUUCGGAUUGUAAAGCACUUUAAGUUGGGAGGAAGGGCAGUAAGUUAAUACCUUGCUGUUUUGACGUUACCAACAGAAUAAGCACCGGCUAACUUCGUG
This 484-nucleotide ribosomal RNA is filed under the name uncultured bacterium. RNAcentral describes it as "partial 16S ribosomal RNA". It matches the Rfam family "Bacterial small subunit ribosomal RNA", at positions 30 to 507 of the family's 1533-position model. The record is from RNAcentral.